Long non-coding RNA from Canis lupus familiaris (dog), 7032 nucleotides. RefSeq lists it as uncharacterized. NCBI's taxonomy places the organism in Eukaryota, Metazoa, Chordata, Mammalia, Carnivora, Canidae. The record is from RefSeq and is a predicted model, not a curated record. The transcript has 4 exons.
UGGGCCGGGCUGGGCGAGACGCUGCCCCCGCGGAGCACGCCCCUCGCCCGGGCUAGCCAAAAUUUGGCUUCCUUCGCGGAUUGGUGCGGCCCGUGGGCCGGGCCUGGCGCUGCAGCGCCGGGCUGGUUGGGGCGGUUUUGCAGGGGACCUCGAGUCACGUGACUCUUCCUGCUGCGCCCCGUCACCUCCACCCGGUCCUGGGACGUGCGGUCCUUGGCCCCGUGAGCUCCUGUUGUGGGCCGAGGUCUGCGGUGAAAGCCCGCGUUGGAGCUCCUGCCCUCAUGGACUUUACAGCCCAGAGGGGGCCUUUAUUUAAUCCGUCAAUACACGACUCACCAUGGAAGUGCCUGGACCCUGUCCUCUUUCCUUCGUGUUUCUAAAUCUAGCGUGUAAUUUUGAAAUCAAUUUGUAUCCUCCUGUCCCUUUACCAACCACAAUGUUAGGGCAAGGCUGUCUCUUUUUGGCACCCCCACUUAGAGUAUAUGCAGCAAAAGACUUGGACAUAAUUUUAGUGUUGGAACGGACUUCAGCUUACAGUCUCUGGAGUUGGUUAACUUCUGGACCCCAGAGAUCACCUUAACAACUGUCCCUUCUUAAAUACUGACCCAGCGAUUACCUCUGAACGGGACGGUGUGCGUGGGGAUGGAGGGUGUGCAGAGAGGGGGAAGCGGGGGCGUCUAGAAUAAAAGACCUGCUUCUCAUAUCUGCUCUUGUUAUUCAGUGUGCAUUUUUCCACGUUUUUUUAAUUAAAAAAAAUAGUUGUGUUCGCCCAGAUUCAAAACAAAUGUUAAAUUAAAAAGUAGCAACCCAAACGGCAAAGGAGGAAGCACAGUAACUUAAUAUCAGAUGGACUGUUGUAACUGGUAUUCGUAACAAAAUAUGUAACUUUUCCAUAAUUUUUUUAAAACAUUCUCUGCAUUCCCCAGGAGGUGAGCAAAGAAGCCAGGAUGCCUCAAAUCAAAGCUGAAACUGCUUCACCACUCACUAGCCUCUUGUGGUCAGACUGUGUCUCCUUCCGGGUGUUUGGUUUUUUUCUUUUUUUUCUUUUUUUCUUUUUUUUUUCCUCAGACUUCCAACACAGCAGCCUGGCACGCAGGGAGAAGAGUAAACUCUGAAAAUAUGUGUCUAAUGAAAAUUGGAUGAAACCCUGAUCCAGCUGAAGUACAGCAUUAGACAAAGAGAGCCAGGGAGGGUUCUUGACUUACCCAAAUAAAACUGUAGAAGAAUAACAGUGUUGCAUCAUACUUUCAUCUGACUUACUCAGAUUCAGUUAUGCACUUGCCAAAAAGAGCAAAUGAAAACCAGUUACAGUGCAGCAAUUCCUCGGCAAUUUUACUGAGAAUGUAUUCCUUGCAGCUCCCCUUCAGAGGGACUUUGUUCUCAUGUGCCUUCUAAGUGAGAGCAACCUACUGCACACAUGCCUAAUUUAAAGAACUUCUAAGUAAUUUUUUUUUUUGCAUUCGGUUUUAACCUUACUUGCUGAGUUUAUUAAUUUAUGUAAUUUUUUAGAGAGGAGGGAGGGGCAGAGGGAGAGAGAGAGAAUCUUAAGCAGGCCAGCAUAGAGCCGGAUGCGGGCCUUGAUCCCACAAACCUGAGAUCAUGACCUGAGCAGAAAUCAAGAGUUGGGCACUUAAGCGACUGAGCCACCCAGGUGCCCCUACUUGCUGACUUUAGAAUCUAAUUUCCUUGCUAUUUUUUUUUUGUGGCGUUUAAGAUUUACAAAAAAAUAUUUUCAAAUGCCUGAUUUGAUUUAGUUCCAAGGUAAACCUUCAAUGUAGGUAAUAUUGAUGUGAUGUUUAUUCUCACUUUCUCUGUAAAGAAGCAGGACCAGAGUGGUGGAGGAGUCUUUUCAUAUGGCCUGAAAAGAAAUGUUUCUUCUGCAGACCCACUCAUCUUGAGAAUGGUUGAAUUGAAUUGUGCUAUGGCUGGAGGGAGUGAGGGGCUGCAGGGUGCGGUGAGUAAUAUCUGACUUCCUACAACCCUUUACUUAAGGGUUCCACAUUGCAGUAGAAACCUUAUGGACUGGAUUUUCCAACUUUCAGAUAUCCUAUUCUAACCUUACUUUGUAAAAUACACUAGCAAUUCCGUGGCCUGGAUCUUCCUUCUCCUUCUCCUAUCCCACUACCUUCACUCUCUAGCCAAACCUGUUGAACUGUUCUGGCCUAAGACUAAGCUGGUAAGUGAAAACUAACAGGUAUGCGUUUUCAACCUAACAGACCUUUCUUUAUUACAAGAAAUAAUGUUGGUAAGGGUGCACAGAAACAGAAGUACAUUUAUAAACUGUUGGUGGGAGUAUAAUUUGGUACAAUUUUUCUAAAGUAUAGUUGGAAUUACAUUUAAAAAUGAAUAGAUCUUUAUGCACACCCUUGGCCCCAACUAUUUCCGAUUAUUAUUUUCUAAGGAAACAAACACUGGUAUGUACAUAGUUCAACUUUAAGAAUGUACCCCACAGGGGCUCCUGGGUGACUCAGUCAGUUAAGCCUCUAACUCUUGAUUUCGGCUUAGGUCAUAAUCUCGGGGUCAUGAGAUUGAGCCCCACAUCCAACUCCAUACUGGGUGUUGAGCCUGUUUAAGAUUCUCUCUCUCUCUCUCUCUCAGCCUUCCUCUGUUCUCCUGCCCCAUCCCCCUCAGCCUCAUGCGCGCAUUCUCUCUCUCUCUCUCUAAUAAGUGAAUGUACCCCACAAAAGUGUCACGAAGAGAAAAUAAUCUAAAUGUCCCCCCAAAAGACAGUAAUAUAGUCCUUUCUUAGAAUGGAAUUUUUUUUAAUUAAAAAUUAUGUUGUCUCUCAUGAACUCAUAUUACUUUUGUAAUGAGAAAAAACGUUAUGUGAAACAGUAAAAUUGCUAAUGAUUGAUAAAGUCCCACUUGUCCUGCUUUCAGCGGAGCCCACAAUACUGGCAGAUCAAAGGGAGUAAUGCAGUAACAUGGGGUCUCAGGCCCAGUCCUGAGACUCAUCAGAGGAGGCUUAGGAGGAAAGGCACUGUGGGUGACCAGACCAUGAGUAAGCCCUGUGCAAUGAUAGCACAGAAUCAGGACCAGAUUUGGAUUGUGAACGCACCACUCCCUGUGUUUGGGGACCUCCAUAAGAAACUAUGAAAAUAUCCACUGUAGACAAUAUUGCUUUAGUUUGUGAUUCUCUGACACUUUUAACUUAACAUCUUAAUUAUACUCUCUUUAGGUGGAAUUGAUAUAUUUGCUUCGGGGCUGGACUUUUAUCACUUAUCCCACUUGGAAGAUUGGUAAUGAAUAUCUGAGCACAAAUGAUCUGAUGUGUGAGUUUUGCUUCAGAGUAACCUGAGGGGGAGUGAAGAAGGUGGAAUUAUAUAUGAAAUGAGGUUGGCCAUGAGUUGAUCAUCUUGGAAGCUGAGUGAUGGGUACUGGGGAAUUCAUUGUGUUACUUGCUUUCCUUUUCCGUACGAUUGAAAUUUUCAGUAAUAAAAAGUAUAACCAUUUAAAUUAAAAAGAUCAUCUCAGUAACUUUGGUCACAUGUAACUAACCAGUCUACCUUGUCCCCAAUCCUCCCAACAGCGUUAAAUAUGACUUGGAAUCACUUAAUUAACUAUAAAGGCAGGAUGGCUUAUGAUUAAUGGGGCUCCGUGAUUGUAAACAAAACUGCAGGCUGCAGCAUGAAUGGAAACUAGAAAAUACAGUGCUAGAAUUUCUUCUGAUCCACAUCCUUAGUUAUCCUAUCAGCACAUACACAAGACAGAAAGUGCAAUGGGUUCCUGGUUGAGAAAAAUUACUCUAAGAAAAUGAAUGAGAUCAGCAUUUUCACCUUUACCUGAAGGAUAACAUCCUUUGUAGCUCAAGCAAAAAUGAAGAUAAUAAUUUAUCCAAAAGGCCAUGGGAAUUCUUGGAAAUAAGCAGUGCAAGGAAGAGAGAAGAAGGAAUCAUAUUAGCCAGGUAUUAAUAAUUGCAUUUCUUGGGUUCUCUCACUUUCAAUGAAACUUUGGACAAAUAUAAGUUUAAAAAGAAUGGAGCAAGAGAACUUCUGAAAGAAUUCCACCCAACCAAGCAGUCAAGUAACUACCCAGUGUGUCAAGAUUCAAUAAUCCUCCAAAACCUUUCUCUGCUGUCUCACACAGACACUGCCCCCCUUCAAGAACAAGGAACCAUCUAUGAGCUGCUUCUCCAUGCUCCCCUUCCAGCAAUGCAGCACCUCUUCUACCUGGGCUCUCUUCCUUCAUAGGCUUACCUUUCCUUUACUCUUGCGCAGGGGCCAUGUUAAUCUUCUCUGUAUCGUUCCAAUUUUAGUAUAUGUGCUGCCGAAGCGAGCACCUUUUUUUUACUCUUGAUCUUCAUUUUGGCUCCCCUAGAAGCUGACUCACACAUACAAAUAGUUUAUUUGGGUGGUGAUGCGAGGAAGUGCCCACAAGGGCAGUAAGACAAGGGAAGGAAGGCAGCCAACAAAGGGAGUGUUUUCAAGCAUGUUAGCAUGGUGGGUAACAGGCACUUAGUCCCCCUGAGGAAUUCUGGGAAGCAGUGCAGAACCCAUGCCUCUGAGUUACUCUACCUGAGAAGUGAGGGAACUAGAGAUUUAUACACCAACUCUUAUCAGUCAUUAGUGAAGAGCUGCUCCUGGGAGGUGUUAAAUCUUCACGUACUCAGUGUCCAUGCUCACAGUUGGACCUCCGGCCACUAGAAGAAGCCAUUGCAAGCUGAUGCACCUGCUCCUGCUGGCAGUUGAUAAAGCCCCAUGAAGACAUGGCCAGCACACCAACAGCAUCUGUUACACUGGUGUCUGAGGUUCUACACAUUUUUUUUUUAAGAUUUGAUUUAUUUUUUUUUUUUUUUGAGAAAGAGAGAGAGAGCAUAAACAGGGGGAUGGGCAGAGGGAGAAGCAAAUUCUCCACUGAGCAGGGAGCCUGGUGUGGGGCUCAAUCUCAGGACCCUGGGAUCAUGACCUGAGUUGAAGACAGAUGCUUCAUUGACUGAGCCACCCAGGCACCCCUGGUGUCUGAGAUUCUAAUCUAGUAGUGAAACCCAUUACCAAAAGGCAGGGCUCACAGCACAGGAAAGAUCAAAGGCUCUGGAGAGAGACAGAUUGGUUUCAGAAUCAGGAUCUUUAACCUCUCUAAGCUUCAAAACUCCACAGAAGAUUGUUGUGGGGAUUGAAUCAUGUCAUUCCUGUAAAAGCCCCCAAUAUUGUGAUUGGCACACAGUACAUAGUCCCCAAAAUCCUAGUUAUGAACAUUUUUAUUAACACCUGAUCUCCUCCCAGAGACCUAAAGUCAGACACAACCUGAAAAUAUUCUGCUUGCCCAGGCUGCCCAGCAGGGACCCAGAAGUUUCCAUCUUGCUCCUGGCACAGCAUUUACUUUGGCAGAAGUGAGCAGAACUGACAAAACUUCUGGAUUUCAGUCCAGCUACUGUAGCCUUGAGGACGAGGCUGGAUGGAGCCCUGAAUUAUCAUCAGAGCGGGGUGAGGAUUGUCUCCAGCUGAGUGGGGCUCGAAAGGUCACAAAAGAGUGGACAGAUCCCCCAAGCAAUAGGUUCUAGGGCAAGUCCACUUUGGAAUCUAUUUUUCUACCCAGCCACUCUGACAGUCUUUAAUUUUUUUUUUCUUUAUGUUUGUGAGGAAAAAUAGAAGAGGAAAAAAACUAGUACUUCUUACUCUCCAUAACAAGUUCCAACACAAAAACAUAACUGCCCUUUCAAUAAGCAAGUAUUUUUGGAAUUCCUUAGUUGAAAUGAAAUUACAUGGUUCACAUACUCAAAGCAAUUUUUUUCCAACUGUUUUUUCCUCCCCAGUCAGUGGAGACCAGACUUUUGGAAAAGCUCAGACUUUCAUUAAAAUUCAGCAAUGUAGAAUAGAAGAGCUGGGUGGGUCCUGCUCAGAUUUUUCUUUGUUGCUAAACAUCUCUACCGAACUGACAGCAAGUACAGAUUUUGGAAAGGCCAUGGAGAGCCCUAUGAGGCCACAUAAAGACAACAACAAAGGCAAGUUUUGAGGAAGAAAAUGUCUGUUUUCUAAAUUACAGAAAACACAAAUUUUCCGAUUCUUAAGGUAAUGUCUGAAAUAAACAUAUAGUAGAUUUAUUUCAUCAUGGUGCUGUAUUUUUCUAAAUUGCUCAUUGAUAGUGAAGAUUAUAAUUGAAAUGACAAAUUUCAAAAAAUGUUUAGCAAUGGGUAUUUACAGAUUCUUGAUGAAAACUUAUUGCAUGCCUUAAUGAAGAUAACCAUAUCCUCCAAAAUUGGCACUGGAAAGAGAAUCUUCACGUAGAGAGGAAUAGCAAGAUUGUAUACCCCUCUUAGGCUCACCCUCCCGUUGGCCUGUGGGGAGAAAGCACUGUUUUCUGCUUUAAUAUUGACAUAAGCCAGGGCAGUAGAUUGGCGGGAUUCUGAGAGUAUGUCCCAAUAAACUUCCUGUACCCUAAUCUCUGUCUCAAGCAGAGUCUGCUUCCCUGAAAACAUACUUUGUGGCAGGUACCCACAGCCCAGGGGUGCAUAUCCAGACACAUGAACUCUUUAAAUCUAGACCCAAAAUAGUAAAGAAGGAGAAGGCCAAAGCAGCCUAUUAUUGUCUGUAGGUGGACCUGUCUACGCUCAGUGAUUGGUGGCCUCUUCCUCUUUGCAGAAGGAAGUUUGACUAUCUGUCUGUUGAGGUCUCUGAAAAAUAACCACAUCAGAAUAUAACCCAAGAAGUAUAAUAUUUAUAAAUCUCUGUGGGUUGUGGGGACAUUUUGUUAUAAACUAUCUUACAAAUAGUCAAAAUAAAUUAGCAAAAAAGAAUAGAGUGACUUAAAAGAAAUGAAAGAGGUAUUGACAUACCUCACUUUGUAAAAAACACAGUCCUAGAAAAGGGGACCAUGAAUCACAUUUUGGUGAAUUAAAUUAUAUUUUAAUGUCAGUAGUGGAAGUUACCAUUUCUUAAAGAUUUCUGUGACAACUAGUUUGGCAGAGAAAAAAUUGCAAAUUGAAAUCAUCACCUUCCAAUUUGUUACUUUAUGAAACUAGAUUUUCAUUUACUGAAAUUAUUUAUUUAUUUUUAAGAUUUUAUUUAUUUAUUCAUGAGAGACACACACAGAGAG